RNAcentral lists this ribosomal RNA (140 nucleotides) under uncultured eukaryote. RNAcentral describes it as "partial 18S ribosomal RNA". It matches the Rfam family "Eukaryotic small subunit ribosomal RNA", at positions 1299 to 1458 of the family's 1831-position model. The record is from RNAcentral.
UGGUGGAGUGAUUUGUCUGAUUAAUUCCGUUAACGAACGAGACCUCAGCCUGCUAACUAGUUACACGAAGGAUCCUCUUCGUGGCCAACUUCUUAGAGGGACUAUGGCCGUCUAGGCCAUGGAAGUUUGAGGCAAUAACA